AAAGGGAGACCUAAUUCAGGUAAAAGACGAAAAAAAAGUAGUCGCUACCAAGAAUCAAUCCCAAAAGGUCGGAGCGAGGCGAAAUUGGCUUUCAAACUAGGUUCUGGGUUCAAACAAGACCUGAAUCAGGAACAAGGGCUAUUAGCUCAGGUGGUUAGAGCGCACCCCUGAUAAGGGUGAGGUCCCUGGUUCGAGUCCAGGAUGGCCCACCUGCACAGGUGGCAAAAAGAAAGAAAAGAAGCGAGGAAUCAGCACCUUAUCUUACUUAUAUAGUAAGAGAGAAUGCUGGCUCUGAGUAAAGAGUCCAGAGGAACCUUGAAAACUGCAUAGAGCUAGGUGAAAAAGCCAAAAAAGAAGACCGCAAG
This 365-nucleotide transfer RNA is filed under the name uncultured Microcystis sp. Its description in RNAcentral is "partial 16S-23S ribosomal RNA intergenic spacer". The stretch from base 136 to 209 matches the Rfam family "tRNA". Lineage: Bacteria; Bacillati; Cyanobacteriota; Cyanophyceae; Chroococcales; Microcystaceae. The record is from RNAcentral.